CGCCUGGGAAGUACGGCCGCAAGGCUAAAACCCAAAGGAAUUGACGGGGACCCGCACAAGCAGUGGAGCGCCUGGUUUAAUUCGAUGGUCAGCGAAGAACCUCACCUAGGCUUGAACUGUAGCUGCACGCUCCCAGAAACGGGAGAAUCCUUCGAGGGUGCUACAGAGGUGCUGCAUGGCUGUCGUCAGCUCGUGUCGUGAGAUGUAGGGUUAAGUCCCACAACGAGCGCAACCCCUAUUCAGUGUUAUAAUUACUCUGAAGACUGCCCUGUCCAAACGGGGAGGAAGGAGGGGACGACGUCCAGUCAUCAUGUCCCUUAUGUCUAGGGCUACACAGACGCUACAAUGGCCGGUACAAUGGGUUGCCAAACCGCGAGGUGGAGCCAAUCCCAUCAAAGCCGGUCCCAGUUCGGAUUGCAGUCUGCAACUCGACUGCAUGAAGCUGGAAUUGCUAGUAAUCGCGAAUCAGCACGUCGCGGUGAAUACGUUCUCGGGUCUUGUACACACCGCCCGUCAGGGCACGGGAGUCGCUCUUGCUCGAAGU
RNAcentral lists this ribosomal RNA (544 nucleotides) under uncultured organism. Its description in RNAcentral is "bacterial SSU rRNA". It matches the Rfam family "Bacterial small subunit ribosomal RNA", at positions 870 to 1427 of the family's 1533-position model. The record is from RNAcentral.